Molecule: transfer RNA, 77 nt
Filed under: Candidatus Margulisiibacteriota bacterium
Lineage: Bacteria; Bacillati; Candidatus Margulisiibacteriota
Description: tRNA-Val
Rfam family: tRNA
About the family: Transfer RNA (tRNA) molecules are approximately 80 nucleotides in length. Their secondary structure includes four short double-helical elements and three loops (D, anti-codon, and T loops).
Source: RNAcentral
GGGCGGUUAGCUCAGUUGGUUAGAGUGCUAGCUUGACAUGCUAGAGGUCACCGGUUCGAUUCCAGUACCGCCCACCA